AGAGGGAUAGCUGGGUCAAAUGGAUUUCCAGAUUUCCAAGGAGUCUCCAUACUGCUUUCCAUAUUGGCUACACCAAUUUGCAGUCCCACCAGCAAU
Molecule: microRNA precursor, 96 nt
Filed under: Marmota monax (woodchuck)
Lineage: Eukaryota; Metazoa; Chordata; Mammalia; Rodentia; Sciuridae
Source: RNAcentral